UCCAUUAUCAAAACUCAUAUCUAUUUCCUCAUCCAUCAUUUAUUCUUGAAUCUUCCAAGCUUGUGAAUUCUUAUUUACAUCUACAUCAAAUUCCUCCUACAAGUGAUAAUCAACAUCACCAUUUCAAGCAUCUAAAAAUUGAAAUUGAGAUGGUAAGGUAUGGUGCAUGGGCUGAAUUUUUACAAGAAAAAGGGGGAAGAAAGACUUUUGUUUCUAGUUGUUCAAUUCCAUUCUAGUAAAAUUACUCCAUCAAGGUUGAUUGCAAAUACGUUGUUUUAUGGUCAUCUUGCAAUUGUGGUCGCAAAUAAGGUUGUCCCGGAUGCGGAAGAAAGUUAAGUAAUGUAAAGAUUGAAGUUAAAGAUGCUUAAUGGAUAUAGGUUGCUUUGGUUAAAUGCGGAUAAUGGUAUUGGUAAUAGAACCCAUAGUGACCCCUUCGAACUAUCGGCUCAUUGUACUCUUGUUAUGUCUUUUUGGAAAUGUAUUAUGAUGUCCAGUGUUAGACUCGAGUUUUGGGUAUUUUCAAUGGGUCGUUUUGUAGUUGUAAUGUAUUGAUUUUGUUUAAAAGUGUUUUGGA
Erigeron canadensis is the source of this 574-nucleotide long non-coding RNA. RefSeq lists it as uncharacterized. Lineage: Eukaryota; Viridiplantae; Streptophyta; Magnoliopsida; Asterales; Asteraceae. The transcript is spliced from 3 exons. The record is from RefSeq and is a predicted model, not a curated record.